This 253-nucleotide ribosomal RNA is filed under the name uncultured bacterium. RNAcentral describes it as "partial 16S ribosomal RNA". It matches the Rfam family "Bacterial small subunit ribosomal RNA", at positions 524 to 776 of the family's 1533-position model. The record is from RNAcentral.
UACGUAGGUGACAAGCGUUAUCCGGAUUUAUUGGGCGUAAAGCGCACGCAGGCGGCUCUUCAAGUCUGACGUGAAAUCUCUCGGCUUAACCGGGAGCGGUCGUUGGAAACUGAAGGGCUUGAGGCGAUGAGAGGGGUGUGGAAUUCCCGGUGUAGUGGUGGAAUGCGUAGAUAUCGGGAGGAACAUCAGUGGCGAAAGCGGCACCCUGGCAUUAGCCUGACGCUCAUGUGCGAAAGCGUGGUGAGCGAACGGG